RNAcentral lists this ribosomal RNA (635 nucleotides) under uncultured bacterium. RNAcentral describes it as "bacterial SSU rRNA". It matches the Rfam family "Bacterial small subunit ribosomal RNA", at positions 28 to 658 of the family's 1533-position model. The record is from RNAcentral.
AUUGAACGCUGGCGGCAUGCCUUACACAUGCAAGUCGAACGGUAACAGGGAGCUUGCUCCGCUGACGAGUGGCGAACGGGUGAGUAAAGUAUCGGAACGUACCUUUCAGUGGGGGAUAACGUAGCGAAAGUUACGCUAAUACCGCAUAUUCUGUGAGCAGGAAAGCAGGGGAUCGCAAGACCUUGCGCUGAUUGAGCGGCCGAUAUCAGAUUAGCUAGUUGGUGAGGUAAAGGCUCACCAAGACGACGAUCUGUAGCGGGUCUGAGAGGAUGAUCCGCCACACUGGAACUGAGACACGGUCCAGACUCCUACGGGAGGCAGCAGUGGGGAAUUUUGGACAAUGGGGGCAACCCUGAUCCAGCCAUGCCGCGUGAGUGAAGAAGGCCUUCGGGUUGUAAAGCUCUUUCGGCCGGGAAGAAAUCGCAUGGGUUAAUACCCUGUGCGGAUGACGGUACCGGCAUAAGAAGCACCGGCUAACUACGUGCCAGCAGCCGCGGUAAUACGUAGGGUGCGAGCGUUAAUCGGAAUUACUGGGCGUAAAGCGUGCGCAGGCGGUUUUGUAAGACAGGCGUGAAAUCCCCGGGCUCAACCUGGGAACUGCGCUUGUGACUGCAAGGCUAGAGUAUGGCAGAGGG